RNAcentral lists this long non-coding RNA (1374 nucleotides) under Zalophus californianus (California sea lion). RNAcentral's name for it is "lncRNA (ENSZCAG00015023551.1)". The record is from RNAcentral. Lineage: Eukaryota; Metazoa; Chordata; Mammalia; Carnivora; Otariidae.
GCAUGCCCGCGCGCGUGCGGGUGGAGGAGGGUGGGGAGAGACGGAGAGGAUGUGAAUGGGGAGGGGGCAGUAGCCCCCUUCCCCCACCCUUUCCUUCUAGCCGGGCUGGGUGGGGGGAGGGGCCGGGCUGAGGCGGCGGCGGCGGCGGCGGCGGCGGCUCGCUCCCGGAGGGCAGAGCCGGCAAGGGCGGGACUGGCCCGCUGCGGGCGGACGAGGGAGCCGCGGAGCUAACGGGUCCGGACGCCGCCAGCGGCGGCAGCUUUCUGCACGGGCGGAGGCGGCGGCAGAAGCGGCGAGCAUGGCCCGCGCGGCGCCCGGCGCUGACUGAGGGUCAUGCUGCGGCAGCCUGGCGCCUGACGAGUGAGGGGGAACCUGCCAGGGGAUUACUGCGAGCACGAGCUACCAGCAGGAGGAUAGCAGGCCUCAGGGGAGUGGGGAUGGGCAGAGCAGCCUGCCUGCGAGGCUGGGCCAGUGGCACCAAGGAGGGCUGGGCCCUGGCAGGGAGCUCGGCACACGCUAAGCUGACCCAGACGGCAUUCGAAGCAGGUCCCUGCUGAGCAGCCGCUGUGCCCAGGCCCCGGAGGACCUCACAGCAGGAGCAGGAGCUCUGCGAACCCCUCUGCAACCACAUUUGGGGCUGUGACCGUCUGGAGAAGGGACCAGCACCUCGAAUGGGAAGCGGAAGGGCAGAACCUAGUGCAAGGAGGAUCUUGGUCUCUGCAGCAGAGUUUUCGGACACCCACAGAGCUUCUUGGGUCUCUUCUCUCAGGACUGGGGCCUUGUUCCCUCCUGUGGUGGAGGGGUUGGGCCAGGAGGGCCAACUGAGGUGGGGACGACUCUCGGAUGGAAUCCAGGCCACUUGAAGCCCAUGUGCUCUCUGCUGUGAUUGGGGUUCGAGGGCUUCCCCACUGCAGGGGACGAGGGGCCGCCUCCGUGUCUGCUCAUGAACCACAAGGACCCCGAAUGCUCCAGACUGGACCAUUUCGAGCCGCCAAAGAGGGGGCCCCCCAGAGCUGGCAGCCAGCAACCCCAAGGGACUAGAGGGCUGGGAUGGACUGACCUCCCCCUCGCCAGGGCAGUGGGAGAGUCAGAGCCUCUGUGGCCCAGCUAGUGACAGAGAGACCCGAUGAAGCCAUAAGCCGGCACCUGAGUGGCUCAGGGACAGGGGAGCCACUGCAGCCUACUGUGCUUCCCCCUUACGUUGAGGGAGGGUGUGGUAAGGGACCCCUGCCUCUGUCCCCUCCUCAGCACGUGUCCCUAUGCCCUUUGCACGUGGUGCCAGAAGAAGCAGGCUACGCUGUGGCUGGCCCUUCCGUGGGCUGGGAAAGGAGUGGCCACGGUGACACCCACCCGCCCACCAGGCUGGUGGUCUAG